RNAcentral lists this ribosomal RNA (598 nucleotides) under Ornithinimicrobium sp. m5-54. RNAcentral's name for it is "bacterial SSU rRNA". It matches the Rfam family "Bacterial small subunit ribosomal RNA", at positions 856 to 1462 of the family's 1533-position model. Lineage: Bacteria; Bacillati; Actinomycetota; Actinomycetes; Micrococcales; Ornithinimicrobiaceae. The record is from RNAcentral.
CGCAUUAAGCGCCCCGCCUGGGGAGUACGGCCGCAAGGCUAAAACUCAAAGGAAUUGACGGGGGCCCGCACAAGCGGCGGAGCAUGCGGAUUAAUUCGAUGCAACGCGAAGAACCUUACCAAGGCUUGACAUAUACCGGAAACUCCCAGAGAUGGGGGCCCCGCAAGGUCGGUAUACAGGUGGUGCAUGGUUGUCGUCAGCUCGUGUCGUGAGAUGUUGGGUUAAGUCCCGCAACGAGCGCAACCCUCGUUCUAUGUUGCCAGCACGUGAUGGUGGGGACUCAUAGGAGACUGCCGGGGUCAACUCGGAGGAAGGUGGGGAUGACGUCAAAUCAUCAUGCCCCUUACGUCUUGGGCUUCACGCAUGCUACAAUGGCCGGUACAGAGGGCUGCGAAACCGUGAGGUGGAGCGAAUCCCUUAAAGCUGGUCUCAGUUCGGAUUGGGGUCUGCAACUCGACCCCAUGAAGUCGGAGUCGCUAGUAAUCGCAGAUCAGCAACGCUGCGGUGAAUACGUUCCCGGGCCUUGUACACACCGCCCGUCAAGUCACGAAAGUCGGUAACACCCGAAGCCGGUGAACCCCGGGGGAGCCGUCGAAGG